UGAGGAAUAUUGGUCAAUGGGCGAGAGCCUGAACCAGCCAAGUCGCGUGAGGGGAGACGGUCCUACGGAUUGUAAACCUCUUUUGUCGGGGAGCAAUAAAGCGUACGCGUACGCAGAUGCGAGUACCCGAAGAAAAGCAUCGGCUAACUCCGUGCCAGCAGCCGCGGUAAUACGGAGGAUGCGAGCGUUAUCCGGAUUUAUUGGGUUUAAAGGGUGCGCAGGCGGAAAGUGCAAGUCAGCGGUCAAACGACGGGGCUCAACCCCGUCUCGCCGUUGAAACUGUCUUUCUAGAGUGAGCGAGAAGUAUGCGGAAUGCGUGGUGUAGCGGUGAAAUGCAUAGAUAUCACGCAGAACUCCGAUUGCGAAGGCAGCAUACCGGCGCUCAACUGACGCUCAUGCACGAAAGCGUGGGUAUCGAACAGGAUUAGAUACC
This 433-nucleotide ribosomal RNA is filed under the name uncultured bacterium. Its description in RNAcentral is "bacterial SSU rRNA". It matches the Rfam family "Bacterial small subunit ribosomal RNA", at positions 355 to 786 of the family's 1533-position model. The record is from RNAcentral.